AGUUUGGAGAUUUGGCAGACUGGUGUGAGCCGAGAUGAGGACACCGACACAUUGAGGGAGACAACGAGAGAAGGAGCUAUGGUGAAAGAUUGACUGGAUAAAGGCUUAAUGUUCGGACAGCGAUGGCAACUACAGAAGGACAACUAAGGACAUGAAAUGAGCUCGAGCAGCAACGUGCCCUGCUGUUCAACUUUCGGCUUCAAAACAGAACUCGGGAAUUGGCGACCCAACAGCGUUAUCGGCAUUGUAAAAG
Molecule: long non-coding RNA, 253 nt
Organism: Syngnathoides biaculeatus (alligator pipefish)
Lineage: Eukaryota; Metazoa; Chordata; Actinopteri; Syngnathiformes; Syngnathidae
Exons: 3
Source: RefSeq, a predicted model, not a curated record